This 115-nucleotide ribosomal RNA is filed under the name Curtobacterium sp. 8I-2. The record is from RNAcentral. Lineage: Bacteria; Bacillati; Actinomycetota; Actinomycetes; Micrococcales; Microbacteriaceae.
CUUUUGGAUUGAAGAUUGUCAGCGCCCGGUCACAUUCCGAACCCGGAAGCUAAGCCUCUCAGCGCCGAUGGUACUGCAAGGGGGACCUUGUGGGAGAGUAGGACGCCGCCGGACU